This 229-nucleotide ribosomal RNA is filed under the name uncultured bacterium. RNAcentral describes it as "partial 16S ribosomal RNA". It matches the Rfam family "Bacterial small subunit ribosomal RNA", at positions 568 to 796 of the family's 1533-position model. The record is from RNAcentral.
CGUGUAGGCGGCUUGGUAAGUCGGGCGUGAAAGCCCUGGGCCCAACCCAGGAAGUGCGUCCGAAACUGCCUGGCUAGAGUACGGGAGAGGGUAGUGGAAUUCCCGGUGUAGAGGUGAAAUUCGUAGAUAUCGGGAGGAACACCAGUGGCGAAGGCGGCUACCUGGACCGAUACUGACGCUGAGACGCGAAAGCGUGGGGAGCAAACAGGAUUAGAUACCCUGGUAGUCC